AGUCCCGUGGUGUAGCGGUCAAGCAAGGUAUUUAACCUCUAGACGCAGGUUCGAAUCCUGCCGGGACUA
RNAcentral lists this transfer RNA (69 nucleotides) under Candidatus Aenigmarchaeota archaeon CG1_02_38_14. Its description in RNAcentral is "tRNA-Lys". It matches the Rfam family "tRNA". Rfam says of the family: Transfer RNA (tRNA) molecules are approximately 80 nucleotides in length. Their secondary structure includes four short double-helical elements and three loops (D, anti-codon, and T loops). RNAcentral also lists the same sequence under 6 other names. Lineage: Archaea; Nanobdellati; Candidatus Aenigmatarchaeota. The record is from RNAcentral.